This 880-nucleotide ribosomal RNA is filed under the name Glutamicibacter nicotianae. RNAcentral's name for it is "bacterial SSU rRNA". It matches the Rfam family "Bacterial small subunit ribosomal RNA", at positions 73 to 965 of the family's 1533-position model. Lineage: Bacteria; Bacillati; Actinomycetota; Actinomycetes; Micrococcales; Micrococcaceae. The record is from RNAcentral.
GCCCUGCUUGCAGGGUGGAUUAGUGGCGAACGGGUGAGUAACACGUGAGUAACCUGCCCCCGACUCUGGGAUAAGCCCGGGAAACUGGGUCUAAUACCGGAUAUGACUUCCUACUGCAUGGUGGGUUGUUGAAAGAUUUAUCGGUGGGGGAUGGACUCGCGGCCUAUCAGCUUGUUGGUGAGGUAAUGGCUCACCAAGGCGACGACGGGUAGCCGGCCUGAGAGGGUGACCGGCCACACUGGGACUGAGACACGGCCCAGACUCCUACGGGAGGCAGCAGUGGGGAAUAUUGCACAAUGGGCGCAAGCCUGAUGCAGCGACGCCGCGUGAGGGAUGACGGCCUUCGGGUUGUAAACCUCUUUCAGUAGGGAAGAAGCGAAAGUGACGGUACCUGCAGAAGAAGCGCCGGCUAACUACGUGCCAGCAGCCGCGGUAAUACGUAGGGCGCAAGCGUUAUCCGGAUUUAUUGGGCGUAAAGAGCUCGUAGGCGGUUUGUCGCGUCUGCCGUGAAAGUCCGAGGCUCAACCUCGGAUCUGCGGUGGGUACGGGCAGACUAGAGUGAUGUAGGGGAGACUGGAAUUCCUGGUGUAGCGGUGAAAUGCGCAGAUAUCAGGAGGAACACCGAUGGCGAAGGCAGGUCUCUGGGCAUUUACUGACGCUGAGGAGCGAAAGCAUGGGGAGCGAACAGGAUUAGAUACCCUGGUAGUCCAUGCCGUAAACGUUGGGCACUAGGUGUGGGGGACAUUCCACGUUUUCCGCGCCGUAGCUAACGCAUUAAGUGCCCCGCCUGGGGAGUACGGCCGCAAGGCUAAAACUCAAAGGAAUUGACGGGGGCCCGCACAAGCGGCGGAGCAUGCGGAUUAAUUCGAUGCAACGCGAA